UUAGGGUUUUAAACCCUAAACUGAAUUUUCCCUUCAGUUAGCAUUAGGGUUCUAAACCCUAAACUAAACUUUUAUCCAUUCAGCCAGCAUUAGGGUUUUAAACCUUAAACUGAGCUUUUCCAUGAUAUCAGCAUUAGGGUUUUAAACCCUAAACUGAAUUUUCCCUUUAGUUAGCAUUAGGGUUUUAAACCCUAAACUGAACUUUUUCCCUUCAGCCAGCAUUAGGGUUUUAAACCCUAAACUGAGCUUUUUCCAUUCAGCCAGCAUUAGGGUUUUAAACCCUAAACUGAGCUUUUCCAUGCAAUCAGCAUUAGGGUUUUAAACCCUAAACUGAAUUUUUCCUUUUAGUCAGCAUUAGGGUUUUAAACCCUAAACUGAACUUUUCCUUUAGUCAACAUUAGGGUUUUAAACCCUAAACUGAACUUUUUCCAUUCAGCUAGCAUUAGAGUUUUAAACCAUA
This 460-nucleotide long non-coding RNA is filed under the name Nicotiana tabacum (common tobacco). RNAcentral's name for it is "long non-coding RNA (NTAB_LNC011774)". Lineage: Eukaryota; Viridiplantae; Streptophyta; Magnoliopsida; Solanales; Solanaceae. The record is from RNAcentral.